AAUAGAAGAGUGUGGUGUGCACGUGGAGUUUUGGGUUCCAAGGAGAUAAAUCAAAUUGUUUUCUAUUA
This 68-nucleotide transfer RNA is filed under the name Paratapes undulatus (undulate venus clam). RNAcentral's name for it is "tRNA-Gln". The record is from RNAcentral. Lineage: Eukaryota; Metazoa; Mollusca; Bivalvia; Venerida; Veneridae.